GAUGAAGAACGUAGCGAAAUGCGAUAAGUAAUGUGAAUUGCAGAAUUCAGUGAAUCAUCGAAUCUUUGAACGCAUCUUGCGCUCCUUGGUAUUCCGAGGAGCAUGCCUGUUUGAGUGUCAUUUAACUUCUCAACCAGACAUCAGAUUAUCUUUUGAUGCUUGGCUUGGAUCUGGGGGUUGUUUGCAGGCCUUCUUGUUCAAGGAGGUCGGCUCCCCUGAAAUGUAUUAGUGGUAUCUGAGGCUAUCGCUAUUAGGUGUGAUAAUUAUCUAUGUCUUUUGGCAUGCCCCAUGAACAGAUUACACUGCUUCCAACAAAACAAAAACAAUUUUGAUGAAUUUGACCUCAAAUCAGGUAGGACUACCCGCUGAACUUAAGCAUAUCAAUAAGCGGAGGA
This 395-nucleotide unclassified non-coding RNA is filed under the name soil metagenome. RNAcentral's name for it is "partial contains 5.8S ribosomal RNA, internal transcribed spacer 2, and large subunit ribosomal RNA". The stretch from base 1 to 120 matches the Rfam family "5.8S ribosomal RNA", at positions 35 to 154 of the family's 154-position model. The record is from RNAcentral.